This 429-nucleotide ribosomal RNA is filed under the name Pseudomonadota bacterium. RNAcentral describes it as "Proteobacteria bacterium partial 16S ribosomal RNA". It matches the Rfam family "Bacterial small subunit ribosomal RNA", at positions 355 to 776 of the family's 1533-position model. The record is from RNAcentral. Lineage: Bacteria; Pseudomonadati; Pseudomonadota.
UGGGGAAUAUUGGACAAUGGGCGAAAGCCUGAUCCAGCCAUGCCGCGUGUGUGAAGAAGGUCUUCGGAUUGUAAAGCACUUUAAGUUGGGAGGAAGGGCAGUAAGCGAAUACCUUGCUGUUUUGACGUUACCGACAGAAUAAGCACCGGCUAACUCUGUGCCAGCAGCCGCGGUAAUACAGAGGGUGCAAGCGUUAAUCGGAAUUACUGGGCGUAAAGCGCGCGUAGGUGGUUCGUUAAGUUGAAUGUGAAAGCCCCGGGCUCAACCUGGGAACUGCAUCCAAAACUGGCGAGCUAGAGUAGGGCAGAGGGUGGUGGAAUUUCCUGUGUAGCGGUGAAAAGCGUAGAUAUAGGAAGGAACACCAGGGGCGAAGGCGACCACCUGGGCUCAUACUGACACUGAGGUGCGAAAGCGUGGGGAGCAAACAGG